AGGGAUUUUUUAAUUUUAAGCUAUUUGUCUGUUAAGUAUAUAAUACCAAAACGCAGGUUGUUUAAAUUAGGAUUUCCAAGUAAUUUAUGUCGUCUUCAAAAUUCCUGGGGUCUAUCAAUCAGAAACGCCAGAAAGUUUGUGUACUAGUUUCACAUUGUUAAGGGAGUAUCUAUAAUAAAAUUCAAAUGCGUUAUUUUAAAAUAAGUAAAGGACUUAAACAUGAUUUUAGCUAACUAGUUAUUUCUAGUAUACAUGAGUUCAUAGUUCUGGCAAACAAAUACUUAUUUUUGAAAUUUUAGUAUCUGAACUUAGUUACUUCAACUAAACUAAAACUGAAUGAGGUCCCUGCCACCCCUCAACCCCCGUCCCCUGCAGCCGCCCCACAGGAUCCCUAUUUAAAGAACUGUGGUGCUGCAGGAAAGCUAGAACAAAGUAUCAGGUUACAGACAGUACAUACUCAUGUUCCUUACAAGACUUAACUGCAACUGCAUCAAUGUAAAAUUUGGAUAUGCCACUUAAGGGGCAGUAAUAUGAGAAAUAUUUUUUCUUUCAAAAACACAUUUCCCUAAUUAUAAAUAUAUAUUCAUUGUUGGAGAUUUUGGAAAACGCAGAAAAAAGUUUUUAAAAAUCUCCCUAUAAUAUCAUUUUAGGUAAUCCCUGUUAAAUAUUACUGUAUUUACUUCUAAUUCUGUUUUCUAUAAAUCUUCAUGGUUAUUUGCUGUAGUUUUAUAAUUUUUUGUUAACAAAGUUAGAUCAUAGCAUUUAUAUACCCUUUUGAUGCCUGCUUUUGAAAGUAUAACAUAUUUCAGGUAUUUAUGAGACAUUUUCUAUGUAUAUAACUCAUCUUUUAUCUCCUGUAUGGUUUUCUCAUCUUUUCAAAAAUGUUCCCAUUUCUAUUAGAGAGAUAAAUAAGAAAAGUCAGAAGAAUUGCACACAGUCCAAAUAAAAUGUUAGAAAACCUUUAUGAGGAAAAGAAAAUGUACAUAUAUGUUUAGAAUAUAAUAAAGGGUAAUAAUCAUGUGUUAACCUUUAAAGAAAUGAGAACGCCUACUCUAUAUGCCAAGCAAUGAUGAUUCAGCAAUUCUUUCUGAAUGUUCAUCUUUGUGCAUUUUGACAGCUACGAUUUUCUACUCUUCAAAAUUCUCUACUUUAACAACACCAUGACAUUAGAAAUGUAUAACAUUGAUCUAGCCUACCUGUAGGUUACAGAGGUUUGUCAGCUAUUUAUCAAUUUUUUUAGCCUCACCAAGAAAUAAUAUCAAAAGGUACUUUCAAAUCCAAAAAACUUAGUGAAAAAUGCUAAUAUCCAGUCACCUUAAGACUCCCAGUUUUAAAAAGCAUAUUGCCAAACUGAAAUCCAGUGCAAGGAUCAGUAUCACAUAGAGUAAAAACAGAAUAAAAAUCACCUAUUACAAAAUUCAUUUCCAAGGGAGUUCCUUUAAAUAUUCCUUACCAAAGGAACGGUGACUUUACUAUUUAACAACCGGAAAUUGUUCUGGCGGGUAGUGUUUGCAGAAAAAAAAAAUAGACACUUAUUUGAUUCAAUCAUUUUCAGAGAGCUAGGAAUAUUAUCAAAACUUGACACAGUAAAUUAUUUUAGAGAACCUGAAGACCGGGUCUUUCAUAUUUGUGAGAAAUUGUAUUAUAUAUUAACAGACGGAAAGAAAUCUGGCUCCCUAGACACUGAAAAGGGUGAAAAGGGAUUUUCACAUUUCUUUAAAUAUCACACACACAUAAGAAUCGUAAUUGUAAAGUUGAAAAGCAAGAAUUCACCUCAACUUUGACAUUUCAAGUUAAUAAGAAAGCAAAUAUAAUCGUGAUUUACGCGAUUGUUGUAUUACGUGAUUGUUGUAUUAAUACAACAAUCUGGCUAGCUUUUGGUAAAAUGAACAGAUACUUGCACACUUAUAGCUUUGUAAAGCUUUGUAAAUAAUUCAAACAUUUGGCAAUAGUAAAAGCCACUAAAUAUUAUUUUAAUAGCUCUAUAAAUACCACACCUGGAAUUUAUCCUUAGAAAAUAAUUUAAAGACAAUAAUUAUAUGUACAAAUAUACCCAUUGCAAAUAGAUGAAAUAGGGUAAAGCAUCAAGAUGAUCAUCUUUAAAAGUACAUAGCAUUUUGGAGAUAUUUUACCCUUACAUUCACCUUUUCAGACUGAGAUGUCUUCUCUACUACCUAGGAGUUGAAAAUCCAUUAUACAAUACGAUCACUUUACAUUAAAUCUUGGUCAUCCAAGUUUGUAUGAUAUGAAUGCGGCAAUUUGGGGGAGGGGUUGGGAUUGUCAUUCCUGCAAAUAAUUAUGACAAAAACAGGAAGAGUAUGUAAAAGGGAGAGUAGUGGUAGCCUGUAGGGGAAAUGGAACAGAGAAGAGCUGAGAUCAAAGCUUAUUUAAUAAAAGUAAAAUAAAUAAAAGCUUUUUUAAAGGUUAAAAUAAAACCAAAAAAAUACAUAGAAAUAGUCUAUAUGGAAUAUUUAGAUAUCACAUAAAUGCUGCUUAUAUGAUGUUAUAGCUUACAUGUAUGUGUGACGGAAAGUUUGAAGAGAACAAAAACUAGCUUGAGUUAGUAACUGACAUACAUUUUUUCCCUUAAAACUAAAGAAUGCUGCAUUUUUAACAAAGAUAUAAAAAUUAGCACUUGCAUUUUUAAAUUUUUACUUUGCUACUCAAACAUUGGUAAGAUUAUUCCAUGAAAACACAAUUAUCUUCCCUUUAUUAUAAGAAAAGUACAGUCAGGUGAGGUGGCUCAUGCCUGUAAUCCCAGCACUUUGGGAGGCCAAGGCAGUAGGAUCACUUGAGCUCAGGAGUUCAAGACCAGCCUGGGCAACAUAAUGAGACCUUAUCUCUACUAAAAACUAAUUUUUUUAAAAAAUGGAAAUUAAGAUAGCAUUUUAACCACAAAAAACUAAAAGUAUAAUUUGUUAUUCAGUUGAUGUCAUCUUCAUCUUCUACUUUGACUUUAUUCAUAUAUAAUAAAAAACAAGUUUUCUUUUUCCAACUCACAAAUCAUUUCUCAGUUUAUAAUAAAAUAGUACAGAAGAAGAUAAAAUGCCAUGAGUCUCAGAAGAAAUUACAUCAAAAUUCAGAUCAUCACUUAAAUGCUGGAGGACAAAUGACUUCUCAUAUUUUACCAUCGCACCUGUGAAUAACUUUUCCUGGCAAUAUUUAAUUCUUAAAUGGGUCAUAUUUAGUCCUAAAUUUUUUUUUUUUUUCUUUUUUGAGAUGGGGCUUGCUCUGUCACCCAGGCUGCAGUGAAGUGGCACAAUCAUAGCUCACUGCACCCUUGAACUCCUAGGCUCAAGUGAUCCUGCUGCCUCAGCCUCUCGAGUAGCUGGGACUACAGGCCAAUGCAACAUCUGGCUUAUUUUAAUUUCUUAUAGAGACCAGGUCUCACUAUGUUGCCCAGGCUAGUCUCCAACUCCUGAGCUCAAACAAUCCUCCUUCCUUGACCUCCCAAGAUCCUGGGAUUACAGGCAUAAACCAGGGUGCUUGGUACUUGAAAUUUCGAUCCUGGAAUUACAGGCAUAAACCAGGGUGCUUGGACCCUGAAAUUUCUUUUUUUUUUGAGACAGGGUCUCGCUCUGUCGCCCAGGCUGGUCCAGAAUAGAGUGCAGUGGCACAAUCUCGGCUCACUGCAACCUCCGCCUCCCGGGUUUUAAGAAAUCUCUGCUUCAGCCUCCCGAAUAGCUGGGAUUACAGGUGCGUGCCACCACGCCCAGCUAAUUUUUUUGUAUUUUUAGUAGAGACGAGGUUUUGCCACCUUGGCCAGGCUGGUCUUGAACUCUUGACCUCGUGAUUCACCCGCCUUGGCCUCCCAAAGUGCUGGAUUACAGGCAUGAGCCACCACGCCUGGCCAUGAAAUUUCUUAGUCAUUCAUAUUAGAAAAUUAUGACCUCCAUUCCCCAAUAAUUCCUGUCCAAGAAUAAGCAAAUAAACUGAGGCUCUUUUAAACUCUGUUAACAGUGCUUUAGAUAUUUGAAUAUAUAACCUCAGAGUAUGUAAAAGUGAUUAUAUUUGCCGAGGUGACACCCAGGGAAUAUUCAUAAUAUAGUGGUUAAAAGCAUAGAUUUUGGAGCUGGAGUGCCUGGGUUAGAAUCCUGGUAAUACUACUUACAGCUGUAAGACCUUGGACUUAAAUCUCUCUGACCUCAGCUUCCUCAUCUGUCAAACAGAGUUAACUCUGUUAACUGUUAAGCUGGUAACAUUAAUACCAAUUUAGGAUUGUUGUGAGGAUUAAAUGCAAUCAAUGUGUGAUACUUAAAUGUGAUUGGCACGUAGUGAGGAAUACCAAAGUGCUGGCUACUCUUAUCAUGAUGAUGAUCUCAUAUGAACUUGAAAAUUUUUUUUCCAGGAAAAUUACUAUACCAUAUGCAUAACAAAAUGUUCUUAUUUAUAAGCAUACAUGCACACACACUCACACAUACACACACAGCUGUCCAAUUGGUAUUUCUAAAUAUUCCAGUUAAUAUUUGCUACUCAUUCAUGUUGAUUUUGUUAAAAUUUAAAAUCAUUAAAACUUCCCAUAGGUAGCAUUCAUUGUAUUUCAGUUCCAAUAUUUAUAUUCUUAAAGUAUAUAUAUUUGAUUUUGGAAUCAGAAGAUCUGUCCAGCCUUAAUAUCUGUUGAUGCCUCACAUAUCUCAGUCGUACCAAAUUACUUGAAAAUUAUCUAGGGGAAACCAUUAUUUAUCAAUUCCUCUUAGAGGGCUAGUACAAAAGAAUAAAGACUUAAAAAUCUGAAUACUUGGUUUCUAAUCUCAGUUCUCCCACUUAACAGGUGAGUAACUUAGAUGAAUCAUUUAAAUUAUCUGAAUACCUAACUCACAAAGAUUAUUGUGAGAGUCAGAUGAGAUAGUACAUGUGUCAGCACUACAAUUUAUAUGACAUCUACAUAUACAUUAUUUUCAGUAUUUUAAGCUAUAUAAACUAUUUUGCUACCACUUGGAUGUUUAUUGACAAAUAGUCUCCUUUGACUCAGGAAGUUUUACUUGGCAUAAAGCAUUAAAGUAACUACCAGAUUCACCCCCAAAGGAGUCUGGCAUCCCCCAAGAUCUUGCCUCUUGCCAAGUUCCCUUUUCAGACCUUUAUCUCUGAAUUUUACUAUCUUCUCAGUGUUAAAAAAAAAAAAAACCUGUUCUAUGCCUUCCCCAUAAUAACAUUUAUAUAAUACUUUACAGUUUAUAAAAUACUUCCAUAUGCUUUCUCACAUACAUCUGAUACUCAAGUGAUAAGAUUUCAAAGAGCUUUUCUAUAGCUACAGUCUAAUAAUGAGCUAAGAUAUUCUUGACAAUUCUUAAACAUACACUGUUCCAAUAUUUACAUAAAACUAGAGGGUACUAGGCUGUGUCUAUCCUAAUGUUUCACCUGUUUUUAAGAUAAUAUCUAAAUAGUUAUAUAAAAUCAAAUUAUUGGCCAUUUAAUAACGGACUAUAUCUUACCUCUACAUACUAUAAUUUCCUAAAAAACCAGUAAGCACUAAGAGGUAUCAUUACCAUAGAUUGCUAUAGAGCAAAUGCUUGAUGUAAGUUUGCAACUCAGACCCUCAAUUCUCAUUCCUGUGAAAAGGUUCCAGAGCAUAAUACUUACAGUACCUUUUAAUUUUGUGAUGGCUACAAAUGCAACUUUGUCUUUAGGGGAAAAAUAGGGAAAUUUUUAUUUAUUGUGUAUGUGUUGCCAAGAUACAGACCCAUAAAAUCUAUUUAUUUAUUUAUUUAUUUAGAGACAGGAUCUCACUCUGUUGCCCAGGCUGAUUGUGUUCCUGAUCUCACAAUCUCAGCUCACUGCAGCCUCGACCUCCUGAGCUCAAGCCAUUUUCCCACCUCAGCCCCCAGAGUAGCUAGGACCACAGGCAUGCCACCAUGCCUGGCUAAUUUUUCUAUUUUUAGUACAGAUGAGGUUUCGCCAUGUUGCCCAGGCUGGUCUAGAACUCCUGGGCUUAAGCGAUCCACCCAUUUUGGUCUCCCAAAGUGCUGAGAUUACAGGUCUGAGCCACCGCACUCAGCUGAGAAAUUUUAAAGAGAUUCACUUCUUACCUUAUCUACGUUACAAGCUGAAAUACAUAAACUUAAGGCAAGUGUCUUUAAGACAUUAAGCCCUAUCCAUUUAAGCUUAAAUUGUUUUAGAAAUCCUACUCUCCCACGCCCCUUACCUGUAAAUGUCCUUUUUUAGGCAAUGACAGUAGUUUGGAUUCAUUAUAUUUGGAAUUUGUCAACAGUAUCUGACUGUCCAUUUUAUAGUAUUUGAUGGGUACACAAACUGUUUAAAAAGGUGGUUAUCAUAGUGCACAUUUUCCACAAAUAAAGUAUUUCAAUCACUCAGCAAAUAUUUAUGGAGUGUUUAUUUUGUGUCACACACUAUUUUAGGUGCUGUUAACUAGAUAGACAUUAUCCUUGCUCUCAUUCAACUCAUUCUAGAGGGGGAAGACAAACAAUAAAAAGUUAAUAACGAAAUGAGAUCGUUUUAAGAGCUUUAAAGAUAGUCAAACAGAGGCCGGUGCGGUGGCUCACGCCUGUAAUCCCAGCACUUUGGGAAGCUAAGGACUGCAGAUCACUUGAGGCCAGGAGUUCAAGACCAGCCAACACGGUAAAACCCCGUGAAAAUACAAAAUUAGCUGGGCAUGGUGGCGUGCACCUGUGGUCUCAGCUACUCAGGAGGCUGAGGUGAAAGGAUCAUUUGGGCCUGGGAGGUGGAGGUUGCAGUGGGCCAAGAUCAUGCCACUAUACUCCAAACUGGGUGACAGAGGGAGACUGUCUCAAAAAGAAAAGAAGAAAAAAAAAGUUAAUUAUUAUCCUCAACUUGGGCUGGAGUGGUGGGGAUAGGAAAGACUUCAGAACAGAAAAUUGUGAGCAAAGUCAUGAAAGACUGAUAGAUUUUGACAGAGAAAGGGAGAAUUUGCAAUUUGGAUCAGGAACACUAAGUCAAGAAGCAAAAGAGCAUAAAAUGUAUUUGAUACAGCAAAAAUACUGGUGAGAUUAAUGCAUGCAAAUUAGGAAGGCUUGCCCUGGGAAGCUGGCAGAAAAUAAGUUACGGUCAGAUUGUUCGAAGUUUUUUUUAUGGAGACAGGGUUUUACUGUCACCGAGGCUGGAGUGCAGUGGCAUUGUCACAGAUCGCUGCAGCCAUGAUCUCUCCUGGGCUCAGCCUCCCAAGUAACUGGUAUUACAGGCUCACACCACCACCACAUCUUGCUAAUAUAUAUAUAGAUAUAUAGAUAUAGAUAUAGAUAUAGAUUUUUUUUUUUUUUUUUUUGUAGAGACAGGUUCUCACUAUGUCUCCCAGGCUGGUCUCAAACUCCUGGGCUCAAGCAAUCCUCCCGUCUCAACCUCCCAGUGUUGGGAUUACAGGCAUGUGCAACUGCACCCAGCUGAAAGUUUUUAAUGUCACACUUGAUGACUGCUCUUUUAUGCUCUUCAAAAAGCACUAAUUCAAUAGUUUGGUCUUUGAAAAAAAAUUACUUGAAGAGGUUGCUUCAUUUCUUAAGUGUCCAUUUAUUCCCAAACCAGUGAAAUUACUUUUCUGGUUGUCAGUAAGGUAAAGGGUUCUUAACAAAGUUUCAUUAAUAAUCUGUAAGCUUCCUGGCCAGGCGCUGUGGCUCACGCCUGUGGUUCUGGCUACUCUAGAGGAUCACUUGAGACCAGGAGCUCAAGGUUGCAGUGAGCCGUGAUCGCAGUCCACCCGGGUGACAGAGGGAGAUCCUGUCUCAAAUAAUAAUAAUUUGUAAGCCUCCAAGAGCACCAACAUAAGAUGGCAAACUAACUUAAAAUGGUUGGUAGGAAGAAUAAUUUUAGUCAUAAUUCUCUGUGGACUAUUGUCUGUAUCAUCAAAAUUUCCAUUUUAUCGCUACAGUAAUAUUAGUAAUUCCCCAAGUUUUCAAAUGUUGAUACUGUGUCAUGGCUUGGUUUUAUAAUACUUUCCCCGAAGCACUAUAAUAUAUACAUUUAAUUUUUUUGUCUAGUGGUCUUUAAAACAAGAUUUUAAAUUGUUUAAAAAAUUAAAAAGUACCUACCUUUCAAAAAACAAGAAAAUAAAAUUGCUUUAAAUGUAUAGAAAUUACUAGAUUUGGAGACACCCAGGGGAUCAGACAUAUUUUAUACUUAAAAAAAUAAAUCAGCCAGGUGCAGUAGCUUACACCUGUAAUCCCAGCACUUUAGAAGCACGAGGUGAGAGGAUCACUUGAGCCCAGGAGUUUGAGACUAGCCUGGGUAACAAAGUGAGAAUUCCAUCCCUACAAAAAAUUUACAAAUCAGCCAGGCAUGGUGGCAUGUGCCUGUAGUCCCAGCUACUCAGGAGGCUCAGGCAGGGGGAUGGCUUGGGUCCAGGAGGUCAAGGCUGCAGGUGAGCCGUGAUCAUGCCACUGUAUUCAAACCUGAGUGACACAAUAAGACCCUGUAUCCAAAAAAUAUAUAUAUCAUUUCCUUUUUUGGGGAGUAUAGAACUAACUUAUUCUAACUGGGAUGAAUAAAAUAUUCAAGCAACAACUAGCCCUUCUUUGUUACCCUCUUUUACAAUAAGUCCUUGAAAGCUUGCUAAUGACUAGUGAAUGUAUGGCGAGCUAAUAUACUUUUCUGGCAUUUUGAAAUAAUUUAAAGAGUUCUUUUUUUGUUUUGUUUUGUUUUUUGAGACAGAAUCUCACUCUGUUGCCCAGGCUGGAGUGCAAUGGCACAGUCUGGGCUCACUGUAACCUCCGCCUCCCGGGUUCAAGUGAUUCUCCUAUUUCAGCCUCCCAAGUAGCUGGGACUACAGGCAUGUGCCACCACACCCAGCUAAUUUAAAAUAAAGUGUUCUUUACACUGAUUUUAAACACUGAGUUAGGCCCAGGGUGAUAGCUCACACUUGUAAUCCCAGUACUUUAGGAAGCCAAGGCAAAAGGAUCACUUGAGUCUAGGAGUUCAAGACCAGCUGAGCAACAUAGUGAGACCUCGUAUCUACAAAAAAUAAAACAGAUUAGCCAGAUGUAGUGGCAUGCACCUGUAGUCCUAGCUACUUGGGAGGCUGAGGCAGGAGGAUCACUUGAGCCCAGGGAGAUGAGGCUGCAAUAAGCCAUGAUCACGACACCACUGCACUUCAAGCCUGGGCAACAGAGCAAGACUGUCUCAAAACCAAAAACACUGUAUUAGCCAAAAAAUUUUAAAAAGAGCUAGAGUUUCUACAUCAUUUUAAAUGGGUCUUGAUAAACUAAUAUUUCAUUAUAACAUUUUGCCUGUGUUGAAAGAUCACACUAUUUAGACCAGUGCUGUCCAACAGAAAUAUAAAGCAAGCUACAAAUGCAAGCCACAUUUCCAGAAACCAUAUUUUUUUAAAGUAAAAACAAACGUGAAAUUAAUUUUAAUAAUGUAUUUUAUUUAACCUAGUAAAUCCAAAAUAUUAUCAUUGCAGCAUAUAAUCAAAAUACAAAUUAUCAAUGAAAUACUUUACAUUCUUUAUUUUUUGUACUAAAUAUUUGAAAUACAGCAUGUAUUUUACACUUUGACCUCAAUUCAGAUAGGUACAUUUCAGUAGCUUAAGAGUCUCAUGUGGCUAGUGGCUACUGUGUUGGACAGUGCAGAUCUAGUGGUUCCUUCUAGUCGGCAGUACUAUAAUCCAAUUUUUCAGAAAUCUCAGCCUGUGAAUCUCAGCCCAAGUAUACCACACAUACAUACCUCUCACAUGCACAUUUAGGGUAAAUAAAGUCUUAACAGGUGAACUCUAUUUUACUUAUAAAAUAGUACUACAUUGUUCAUCCAUAUAAACAAUAUGAUAAUUUUUUUCAAAAUAAUACUUUACACUUAAGGUAGUAGGAAUGUAUUUACACAUGCUCAGUUGACAUACACUUUCACAAUGUUUAAUUGUAAAAGCAACACUUGGAAAUGAGGAAUCUACGUGAUUUUCACUUUUAUCUUUUCUAAAAUGUCUCUUCUCAUACUCUUUUCUUAUAUGUGGCCUGAGAUGUCAUCUUAAUUGGCUCAUUAGAAAAAUGAGAGUAGUUAAAAAAAAAAAAAAAGAGAGAGAGUAGUUUAAGGAGUACACAGAAAAAAAAUGUCUGUAGCCCAAGAGGAGGAGAGGAUAUGCAGCUGUUUCAUUGAAUUAUUAGGCUCUUAGCCAAGACUGCAACAAACUGAUUAUUUAGCAAGUUUGUUUAGCUAAUUGUUUACAAUUCUCAAAUAAUUUUUUUCUUUUUUUUUUUUUUUUGAGACAGUCUUGCUCUGUCACCCAGGCUAGAGUGCAGUGGUUUCAUUAUGGCUCACUGCAGUCUCAGCCUCCGGGGCUCAAGUAGUCCUCCCAACUCAGCCUCCCAAAUAGCUGGGACUACAGGCAUGUGCCACCAUGUCUAGCUAUUUUUUCUUUUGUAGAGAUAGGGUCUCCCUAUUUUGCUUAGGCUAGUCUUGAACUCCUGGGCUCAAGCUAUCUUCCCACCUCCGCCUCCCAAAGUGCUAGGAUUACAGGUGUGAGCCAUUGUGCCUGGCCUCUCAAAUGAUUUAAUUUAAAUCAGUACCAAACUUUAACUAUGAAUUAACUUUAUCGUAUACUGCAUCCAUUAAAACAUAAUCACGAAACCACUGCUACCAUGGAGACUUAACUAUGAUUCGAAGACUUUAAUAAUGGCUACCAAAUAUAAGUAUUAGAACAUUUAUAUAAAUAAGCCCGUAUGUCCUAUAGUAUUUACCAACUACUAUAAAAUUCAGCCAUUGACUACCUAAUUCCAAAUGCAUAAGCUUGAACUAUUAUAAUUGUCUAAAGAAGGAUAUUUAGAGAAAAAUAUAUCUCUAAAAUAAAUUAACUGUAAAUGGAUGGGUUUUAAUGUUCAAGUUAUUAAUAUUUCAAAAAUAUAAACUUUUUGUUAUCUAGGUCAAAUCAGCAUAUCAAGCCAACCAUUACUGAGACCCCACUGUGCUAUACUGUUACAUGUAACAUGAAGGAUAAAACAGUAUAAUACAUAGUCCCUACCCUUAAGGAGUUUAUACUAUAAAUAAGUCAGGCACGGUGGCUCAUGCCUAUAUCCCAGCACCUUAGAAGGCCAAGGAGGGCGGAUCAAUUGAGGUCAGGAGUUCGAGACCAGCCUGGCCAACGUGGUGAAACCCUAUCUCUACUAAAAAUACAAAAAAAUUAGCCAGAUGUGGUGGCACACACUUGUAGUCCCAGCUACUUGGGAGGCUGAGGCAGGAGAAUUGUUUAAACCCGGGAGGUGGAGGUUCAGUGAGCCAAGAUUGUUCCACUGCACUCCAGCCUGGGUGACAGAGCGAGACUCGAUCUCAAAAAAGAAAAAAAAUAAAAGAAAAAGGAGUUUAUACUAUAACUAUAUAAAGUAAUACCUAAUGUCUAUUGUUGCUUUUGCCAGACAGCGGUAGAGUUGAGUAGCUGCAGCAGAGACUGUAUGGCCCACAAGGCCUAAAAUAGUUACCGUCUGGCCCUUACCAGGAAAUGUUUGCCAACUUCUGCUUUAUACAAAUUAUUCUUCGCUGGAGGGAGAGCAAAGUCUAAAUAAAGCACUAAACAUGAUAAAAUUUUAUUGCAUCUGGCAAACUUUAAAAACUAUAGUUUUUACAAUAAACACUCAGAAAUAGGCCGGGCUCUGGUCACAUUUUCAUCAACUGGUCAAUACAUAACCUCUUCUAUGUGUAUUUCUGUUAAAGAUACCUUAAUAAUAUAUAUUGUUGAUUCACUGACAUUGAACUCAUAGCCAACAGAACUAUGACUCAUGCCUGAAUGAAGCUUACCUAACACCUGAAUUUUCUCUGUAAGGCACAUCACAGCCUUCUUGUGCUUAGCAACACUAGACAGCACUUUAGCACUAUGCUUAGAGGCCAUUUUAAAUAGUAAAGUCACCAAUAAAAAAAAAGCACAAAAAUACAAAAAUGUGGCACUAAAUGGACCAUGAAAAGGAGACUUGUUUAAAAGUAUGAGAGCUGAAACAUGAGGGCAGACCACUGACUUGUUCAACCUCAGCUAGUUCAUUUUUUGUGUGUGUAGAGAUGGUGGGAGGGGUUGCACUAUGUUGCCCAGGCUGGUCUUGAACUCCUGGCCUCAAGCAAUCCUUCUGCCUCAGCCUCCCAAGGUGGUGGGAUUACAGAUGUGAGCCUCUGUGCAAAGCUCAGCUAGUUCUUAAAUAUUUUGCCACUCUGAACAUGCGUAUGUCUAAAAAUGACCUUGAAAGCAUUUCAAGUAUUGCUUUUGGGGUUACAAAUACAUUUCGGUGAGUAGGCAAAUUCAUAAAUACAGAACUGACAAAUAAUGAGAAUCAACUGUAUAAUAAUAUCAUUACUGAGAAUCUUCUGCAUUAACCAUAAUCAGUUAAAAAAUUGUUUUUGAACAACGGUAACAUUAAUGAGUACACAGGCACCAAAGUUAAUACCUUUGAAGGGAUAUUUGUUAUAUAUAAAGCAAAUAGGGCAUGUGUGUAGGUGUAUUUCCCUCUUCCCUACUCCAGGAGCCCUUCACCUAGCUUACUUCUGCUUUGAGACUCACCCUGUAGAUGGGCUUCUGUGAAGCCCAAACUUGGGUUAGAUUCCCCGGACCUUGAGCUCCUACACUUCCCCCCAUAUCUCCACUGUAUUACACAUCACCUUACAUAACCAUCUGUGUGUUUAUGCCUCAUCCACUGGAUUGUAACCAGCGGGGUCCUGUUUUAUUUCUAGAACAAGGCGUUUACAAUAUAUUGCUGUUCAAUAAACUUUUACUGAAUGAAUGAAUCACAAAGAGAUGAGAAAUAACAAGAACCUAAAGUAGGAUGACUAUGAUAUAACCAGACCAACAGGUAGGAUUAAGUAGUAAGAAAUAGCAUCUGUAUAAUUUGCCCAUCAGCUGGAUGUAGAGAAGAGGAAGGAUUUCAGACUGCCCAUUUCUGGAUUGACAAAGGUGUGCACAGUUGUGCUACUAAUGAAAGUAUAGAAUAUAAGAAGAGUACUUUUUAAGUGUAAAGACAAGUUCUACUGUGAACAUUCCUGUAACCUUAUUAAUAACCCCUUCAUCUAUGCUACUUCAAUAGUUGGUAAGUUUUGCUGCAUAAGACUGCAUUCCUAGUUAUCUAUUUCUCUGGCUAACUACCUCAUUAAAAUGUAAGAUAAUAUAAGGUAAAUUUUAUUUAAUUUUUGACUCACCAAAAACCAACACAACAAUAUUCAUUUGAAUUGAACGUGGAUGAAGACAUCCAGGAGAUAUUCUGAACUGGAGCUUAGAAAUAUUAGUUGGAGACAAAUAUUUAGAAAGGAUCCUAAUGCAAGUGAUAUUUUAUAGUGUGAAGGAGGAACAAUUUUUGGAAAGAAUCAAAGACAGAACUUUGGGAUGACCAGCAUUUAAGGGGCACAUCAAUCAACAGGAGACAAUAAAAAAGACAGAAGGAACCAUCAGAGAUCAACCAGGUGAGAAUGCUACGGCAGACACUGCUGGUUACAUACCAAAGAACCAUUCAUAUCUUCUUUCUAGCUAACAGAUAUCUUCUCCCAGAAAUAGAGUAAUGAACUCAAGGAAGGUGAGAGCAUCCCCCAGUCUCUUGGGGAUGGCUCAGGGUUGAUUUAAAUCAAUCACAGUAGUAUUUCCUUUGCCAGUGAUUGUUUAAGGGCAGACAUGUGACAUGGUUCUAGCCAAUGAGAUGUAAGAGAGAUGUUCUGGGGAUUUUCCUCCCUAUAAGGAGAUAUCCACCAAGGAGAAACCCCAGCACUGCAUCCUGUUUUUGAAUAAUGAAAUUCUUACAAUCCUAAAGGUAGACGUCUAUGACACAGUGAAAACGGCAGAAUACAAAGACAGUAAGAGCCUAACUUGACAGUGUUGCAUCUCUAAAUCAAUCUUGGAACUACCUAUCAUUGGACUUAAGAGAUUCUCUUACUUGGAGCUGAAGGCAUCCUGACACCACUAGUGUCCAAAAACCAAAAGACAGAAGCUAUUUCAUGAGGGAUACAGAAAAGUAAAUAAAGAUGAUAGAAAAGUAUCUGUAAGAGUGAGAAUGAUUUUGGCUUCAGUAGUAAUAGUUAAUCCUGGUGAGCCCUCAAAAAAAUAUUAACCUAAAAACACAUGUAUCCUCAUUUAGUCUCUCAGAAUUCUAUGAGGUAGAUAGAAUUGUGACCAAUAAAAGCUAGAAUGUGGUAAAUUGAACAUUAAGAGGGAAAUGAAAAUGAAAUGGUAAAUUUAAAUAUUUCUAACAAGUUGUCUGAAGGAGAUAGACUUGUAAUAAGGAAAGGAUAAAAGAGGUUUUAAGAUAGUCCAGAGAAGAAGAAAACAAUAUAGAGGAGGAUAUUUAAAAACAUGUAAGACAUAUAAUAAAAGAAAUAAUUGCUUAAAUGACAUCUCAAAGAAGAUAAAAUUUGAUACGAUUUGAUACCAAGAGUACCAGUAGAUGAGACGUGAAUAAAAUUAGAGGUGGGCUCUGAGAGCAAAAGGAAGUAGACGACGACAAUUUAUAAAUUUGAAAGUAAAAGGACUAGGAAGACCAAGAAGUUCAUACACAGUAUCAAUACUCUGUUUAAAAAGAGAGGAGUGGGGGGACAUCCACUGCUAAGGAUUCAGAGUAAAGUAGGGUGUUUGAUAAGAAUGGUGGUAGUUCAGUAUGUCAAUUAUGGAAAAUAGGGAAGCAGCUGAUCAGAAACAAACAAUUACUAAAUCCCACUAAGGACCCAGCUGAAACCAGAAUGAAUGAACAUUCAUUUACUCACAAAUUUUUAUUAAGGACCUUUCAUAUGCCAAGGCACCUUUCUAGGUGCUAGGGAUACAGUAUGAACAAAAAUCCCUGCCUCAUUCUCUGUACAUUCUAGUAGGGGGAGAUACAAUAAAAAUUUUUAAAUACUGUAAGUUGUGUUAGACGGUGAUAAAAGCUAAGAAAAAUAAAGCAGAAAAUGUAAAUAAGGAGAUUCAAAAUUUAGAUAGGGUAGCCAGAAAUGAUUUCAGAGAAAAUGAUAUUAGCACUACAAUCUGAAAGGAAAGGAGGAAAGCUAUGCAUCCAUAUGGUAGAACUUAUUGGAUAGAGGGAAAUAUCAAACACCAAAGCCUAGAAGUGAGGGAAUGCAAGGCAUCUUUGAGGAACCGCAAGGUGGCUGAGUCAGAAUGAUAGAGAUGGUGAAGGGGUUGAAAGAUGGUCAGAGAAAUAACAGAUGCAAUACAGAGGCUUGUAGGCCACUAAAGACUUUGACUUACAUUCUGAGGGAAGAUACAAUGCCAUUGGAGAGUUUUACGCGAAUGAUAGGUCACUUUGAUUCUUAACAGCGUGGGAAAGACGGUGGGCAAGGGUGGAAGACCAAUAAGAACUGAUGGGCACAGUGGCUCAGACCUGUAAUCCCAGCACUUUGGAAUGCUGAGGCAGGAGGAUAGCUUGAGGCCACGAGUUUCAGACUAGCCUGGACAAUAUAACAAUACUCUGCCUCUACAAAAGAUAAAAAAUGUCAGCCAGAUAUGGUGGCACAUGCCUGUAACCCUAGCUACUCAGAAGGCCGAGGCAAGAUUGCUUGAGCACAGGAGUUUGAGGUUACAGUGAGCUCUGAUUAUACACUGCACUCAAGCCUGAGUGACCAAGUGAGACACUGUCUGGGGGGGGGGGGAAAUACACACACACACAUAUAUAUAUAAUGUAUGCAUAUAUAUUAUGUAUAUAUAUAAUGUAUGCAUAUAUAUUAUGUAUAUAUAUAAAAUCUUUAUGUAUAUAUAUGUACAUAUAUAAAAUAUAUAUACAUAUAUACAUAUGGCUUAGGGUGCCAAAGACUAAACAAACUCAAAAAAGGUUAAAGAAUUUGGCAAGGUCACUGAAGUAGCAAUAUACAUAUAUAUUCAGGUGGUUUGGACCAUGAUGUAGCAGUGGAGGUGAUGAGAAGUGGUGAACUUCUGGAUAUAUCUUAAAGGUAGAGUCAACAGGAUUUCCUGGUGAAUCAAACAGGGAAUGUGAGGAAAAACCAAUAAGGACACCAAGGUUUUUCAACUUCAGCAAACACAGAACAGACUUGCUACUUACUAAAAUAGAGAGGGGAGAAGGGAGAAACUGAGGAGUUCAAUAUUGGACAUAUAAAAUAAAGAUGCAUGGGGCCAGGCACAGUGGCUCAAACUCAGCACUUUGGGAGGCCAAGGCAGAAGGACUGCUUGAGGCCAGGAGUUUGAGACCAGCCUAGGCAACAUAGCGAGACCCCCAUCUCUACAAAAAAUUUAAAAAUUAGCCAGGUGUGCUGAUGCAUGCCUGUAGUCCUAGCUACUCAGGAGGCUGAGGCAGGGGGAUCACUUGAGCCCAAGAGCUCAAGGCUGCAGUGAGCUAAGAUUGCACCACUGCACUUCAGUUUGGGCGACAGAGAUCCUGUCUCUUAAAAGAGAAAAAUUUGGGAAGAGUGUAGGUGAUAUUUGAAACCAUGAGACUAGAGGAAAUUACUAGAAUCAUAGAUAGGGUAAAAGGGCACAAGGAUUGAGUCCUAGCACUCACAAAUGCAGUAGUAAGAAUAACUAUUACUAGGAAAGUGGGGCCUCUCCCUCACCCCUGAGAUGAAUCCUAAUUAUUCUAAGCCAGUAUGACACUUGAUAGAGUAAGCCUGUGACUCAACUCUGGUCAGGACAAGGUUAAUAAGAUUGGCAGUUGUGGCAGGGGUGGAGGGUAGGGACACUGGUAGCAGAAACUUUCCCCUUCCAUUUAACAAUCAUGACUGCAUGACACCUGGAACUGUGGCAACCAUUAUGCAAUCAUUAGGGGAGUAAAGUCAAGAAGCUGAGGGUGGUAGAAGGCAAAGAUGAAAAAAACAUGGGUACCUCAUAAAUUGUUGAGCUGCUCAUCAACCAGCCUUAGAGCCACUCUACCCCUGGAUUUUUUAUUAUUUAAGCCAUUUAAUAAGGGUUUUCAUUACUUGUGGUCAAAAGUAUCUGGAUACAAUAAUCUCAUUUAAUUUUCAAAACAAUGCUUAGGGUGACAAGGAGUAAACAAACUCAAAAAAGGUUAAAGAAUUUGGCAAGGUCACUGAAGUAGCAAAUGGUGAUUUGAAGUUCAUCCGACUCCAAAGUCAAUUUGAACUGAUUAAGAGUUGUUGAUUUAAAGAAUGGACACAACUAAAAGACAAAGGGGAGUGGGAGUUGAGAAUUACUGACGUGAAUGGCAAAGAAGGAAAGCCAGCAAGUAAGAGAUGGAAAGAAAAGAGAAGUGUCAAGAGACUAGAGGAACGGAAGAAGUACAUUAGGAAACAAACUGACAAGAGGUCAUCUUGAGGAGAAUAUCAGACUUGAAGAUUUUUAUUGUUUGAGUUGUCUGGAUGAAGACUAGAUGCAGGCUGUGGCCAUAAGUAGUGAGGAAAUUGCAUUUCGAGUAGUUAAGGAUUAAUGUAGUAAUAUUUACUACAUGGCACACAUUAUUUUAUGCACUUAGGAUUCAGUGGUAUGUGAUCUGAGAUGAAGUUCCCGGGCUGUAACCUGGCCAGAAGCUUGAAGUCUUUACCCCAAGAUAUAAACAGAGCACAAGAAUCAGGCUGACAAUUGGGAUGACAAUGACUCACAUUCACUAGCUUGUUUCAAAUAAUUUAACAUACACUAGGAAAUUAAAUGUUUAAUGAAUGAAUGAUCUAUCUGAUCAUUCAGCUUCUCCCAUUCUGACUCUUCAAACCAUUGCUUAAUUAGCUACAGGAUAUUAUUGGUUAGACUGAUACAAAUAAUUGUCUGAAAACAAUAGGGAGUCUCUGCAAAGUGAUCCAUGGUUUCAAUCCACCUUCACUCACUAGCAUGCUCAAGACAAGACGGUGAGAUAUAUGUCUAUUUUGUUUACUACUGUAUCUCUAGCACUUAGAACAAUGCCCAGAAUUUUUGUUGAAUUGAAUAAAUGAAUAGAUUAAUUAGGACCUACUAGAUGCCAGGCAUUAUUGUCAUCUCAAAGGUAAAUAAGAUAGCUCCUGCCCUUGACCGUUUACCACUUAAAAGCUCUAACUAAAACCUCUCAAUCUUCAUUUAUAUCAAAGUGCAUAGUUAAGGAGCAAGGUUGUUAAGAAUCUAAAGGUAAUAUCUGUCCUGGAUAAAAGGUGUCUAAAGCUUAAUAUGCACAUAAAUUUUUUAAAACUAACAUUCUUGCUUGAAAAAAUAGUAUUUAUAUUAUUGCUACAAUUAGAUAACCUGGCAUAAACAAUGAUUAUGAUAAACCAUAGAAAAAUAGUACCUCCAGAUAUUUCUUAUAAAAAAAUUAAUUCCUUUUUCUUAAGUACAUGUCCCUUCAAAUUUUUUUUAAAUGAAGUGAGAAUAUCAGUUAAUAUGAAGCAACAUAAAGGAACAAAUGGAAUCAGAAGGCAAAUUCCAAAGAGAUCACUACUAUAAAUAGAGACAUGGAAAUGUCAGAACAGAGAAGCAAGGUUCCACUAAAAAACAACAAAAUUGUUAUACCAAAUGAGUUUUCUAUCUUGUACCCACCCACUUCCAGUUAAGGAUUUCACUGGCAAAGAUCCUUGAUCUUUCAAUAACCUAUUUUCAGAAGGAAAUGUUGUCAGUAAAUGUUGUCAGUAAAGGUAGACAUCCUGAUUACAAAAAUUAAGAUGUUUUUGGUUCUGUACAGAUUCUUCUUCCUCUUGUACCUAAGAAGCAGAAAACCUCCAACCCAAACACCGAUGCUUCAUAUAGAAGACAGUUCACAAAAUAAAGAGCACUGGAUUAGAAAUCUAGUCUUGGCUCUGCAAUUAAUCUUGGCACUUUGUAGAAGGCACUCAGCAAUCUGUGUUAUGGUUUCCUCCAAUAUAAAAUGAAACAAAUGGGCGAGAUUACCUUCAAGGUCUUUCCAAGACUGAUAUUCUAAGAAAAGUUUGUGUGAAACUACCCUUCAGUGCCAUCUGGCCUCAAAGGCCCUCCACAUUCAUAAUCAUAUGUAGCUUUGUAGGAAAAUGAUAAGUGGAAUAAAGAAUUCAACUUGAUAUUUAUUAAACUUUUACCAACAUAAAAGCAUACUGGGCAAACCAAAGAAUAAGACGCGGUCCUUGACAAGCCCUCUUUUAUACAGAGGAGGGGAAAAGGGAGAAGACAAAAUUUCUGUAUUCAUAACAUUUACUACAAUCUAGCCAGGGAAACAAAAUUUAAUUCACUUUAAUUCCUCAAAUAUUAAAUAUGUUUUGUGUAAAAGGGUAGUUUUCAAAUCUUGAUGAGUAGAAUCAACUAUGAUGCUUUCUGGAAAAAAAAAGAAAGAAAGAAAGAAAGAAAUAUAGAUUCCCCAAAACAUGAUUCAGUAGGUCCACGUACGGCUAAAAAGCACUCUUGAUGAUGCUGGUGACCUUUUGUUAAGAAACUCUGCCUUAGUCUAGCUAACAAAAAGUUUGAGUUAGUCCAGUUAAAAGAAAAACUUUCAAUUGAUUCAUGAAUAGGACAGACCCCAAUUGAAAGUAGUUCAAUGACUUAGGGCUGAAGGGAUAAGGAGGAUUUUCACAGGAUGAAUGCAGAAACAAGGCAAAGAAAACAUUUGAUUAAAGUGGAGCAACAGCCUGAUUUGGACCAUUCCAGUGAAAAGUCCCUAGUUAAAGGUUAAUUGGCAGUUUCUGAUUGGUUAAGACAGUUUACAUUGAAUUAGGUUUCAGUUUGCUUAUGUAGGAACACAGGGCACUGGAGGUACCCCAGUCUAAUCACUUCCCAUUUAAUUAUUUUAACAGUUUAAAAAAAGCUGUUUCUAGACCCUGAAUUCAUCUCAAGACUAUAUACCCAUAACUAGAAACAAACUGCAAGCCAUUAAAAAUAAGCAAAAGUCGGCCAGAGCUUGUACACUUGUGUAUUUCAGUGGUUCUCAAGUGUGUCUGCACUUUAGGAUUAACCUGUGGGGAAAAGCAAGAGAGAUCAGAUUGUUACUGUGUCUGUGUAG
RNAcentral lists this long non-coding RNA (19733 nucleotides) under Homo sapiens (human). RNAcentral describes it as "non-protein coding lnc-FUBP1-3:2". Lineage: Eukaryota; Metazoa; Chordata; Mammalia; Primates; Hominidae. The record is from RNAcentral.